Molecule: transfer RNA, 76 nt
Filed under: Anaerolineae bacterium CG2_30_58_95
Lineage: Bacteria; Bacillati; Chloroflexota; Anaerolineae
Also listed under: 2 other names
Description: tRNA-Lys
Rfam family: tRNA
About the family: Transfer RNA (tRNA) molecules are approximately 80 nucleotides in length. Their secondary structure includes four short double-helical elements and three loops (D, anti-codon, and T loops).
Source: RNAcentral
GGCCGCCUAGCUCAACUGGCAGAGCAAUUGACUCUUAAUCAAUCGGUUCGGGGUUCAAGUCCCCGGGCGGUCACCU